Molecule: non-coding RNA, 30 nt
Filed under: Homo sapiens (human)
Lineage: Eukaryota; Metazoa; Chordata; Mammalia; Primates; Hominidae
Source: RNAcentral
CCCAAUAACGCUGUGAUUGUCUGGUUCCUU